Molecule: small nuclear RNA, 106 nt
Organism: Suncus etruscus (white-toothed pygmy shrew)
Lineage: Eukaryota; Metazoa; Chordata; Mammalia; Eulipotyphla; Soricidae
Source: RefSeq, a predicted model, not a curated record
GUGCUCGCUUUGACAGCACAUAUACUAAAAUUGGAAUGACACAGAGAAGAUUAGCAUGGCCCCUGCACAGGAUGACAUGCAAAAAAUAAAUAGAUAAAAGAAAUAA